GGUUAGCAGCUGCCGGUAGGGUCCUAGCCUUGGCCGGCUGUGAGGAGCCUUGCCGGGCUCUGGAGCCGCUUUGGAGGUCCGGACAGAAGCGGAGCUCUGGCUGCUUCUGGUCGCUGUCCCGGCAGAUGCCCAGCUCUGUUUCCUCUGGGUUAUAGCCAGUCCAGAGACUUCUGACGAGGAGAGAGUGCUUGUUCUCCUUGUUACUGUUAGGAUGGGGUGAUACGUUCUUUUUUAGGCAGGAAGCCUUUUCGUGGGCAGGUACCAGCAUUUAGUGGCGUUUGGUUUUCGCUGGCGUUUGGUUUUCGGUGGUAGUCCAUGGAUAGCCCUCCGGAGCCCUAGCCUUGAACCCAUUUACGAUUCACUGGGAAAGCUUCGAAGCGGUCAACCCUCCCACGCCAGGCGUGUGUGUCAGGGGAGCCAUAAAAUAUUGACUCCGGAAGAUACAGUCAAUAGCAGUCAAGCUCAAUUUAAUUUUUUUUAAAGGAAAAUAAUCCCGUGGAAAAAAUCAAUAUUUUUAAGUCAUUCAUAUUAGUUCUCUUACUUCAUUAACACCCCCACUGUAGUUCUCUCCUGGACGUGUAAUGCUGUCGUUUCAAUGUCAAAACAUUCAGUGAAACGUAAGUGUGAUUUUUAUCAGAACUGACGUAGGACAUGAGAAUAAUAGGCAUUUCUCCUAGUUCGUUGCUUCACUGACUGUGGUGUGAGGAAAGGUGAAAGAUUUGUCACUCACCCCCGCUGAUAAAGUUAUGUUCUUCACUGGUUUCAGCAGGAAAUCUACCUUUAUGUAUUUCUAAUCAAACUUUAUUUUUGCUCAGAAAUCAAAUGAAGGAUCACUAGAAAUAGAAAAUGUGGAUCUUUUAUGCCAUGAUGGAAAAUGCUACAGAUGAACCAAAAAGCAUCGGGGUAAAAAGCAUCGUACAGCAUCUGAACAGUCCACCAACCUUACGAUGUGAGUCAGAGAUUCGUUCUACCUGGUUUUGAACUUCAUGGAAAUGGAAUAAUACGAGAUGGGAGUCUUGCCAUGUUGCCUAGCCUGAAGUUCAGUGGCUAUUCACAGGCACGAUCACAGUGCAUUACAGCCUCAAACACCUGUGCUCAGCAAUCCUCCUGCCUCAGCCUCCUGAGUAGCUGAAACUACUGUGUGCACCACACCCAGCCAUGUAAAUGGUAAAACCAACCUGCUAAUUUCUACAAAAUACUCUAGUGGGAUUUUUAUUGAGAUUACAUUAAAUCUAUAAAUCAAUUUGGGAAGAACUGACAUCUUAAUAAUAUUGAGUCUUCUAAUCCAUUAACACCAUAUAAUUUCCAUUU
Long non-coding RNA from Piliocolobus tephrosceles (Ugandan red Colobus), 1311 nucleotides. RefSeq lists it as uncharacterized. The record is from RefSeq and is a predicted model, not a curated record. Lineage: Eukaryota; Metazoa; Chordata; Mammalia; Primates; Cercopithecidae. The transcript is spliced from 3 exons.